RNAcentral lists this ribosomal RNA (804 nucleotides) under Streptomyces sp. KLBMP 1112. RNAcentral describes it as "bacterial SSU rRNA". It matches the Rfam family "Bacterial small subunit ribosomal RNA", at positions 84 to 900 of the family's 1533-position model. The record is from RNAcentral. Lineage: Bacteria; Bacillati; Actinomycetota; Actinomycetes; Kitasatosporales; Streptomycetaceae.
GCCGGGGAUUAGUGGCGAACGGGUGAGUAACACGUGGGCAAUCUGCCCUGCACUCUGGGAUAAGCCCGGGAAACUGGGUCUAAUACCGGAUACGACACAUGAGCGCAUGCUCGUGUGUGGAAAGUUCCGGCGGUGCAGGAUGAGCCCGCGGCCUAUCAGUUUGUUGGUGGGGUAGUGGCCUACCAAGACGACGACGGGUAGCCGGCCUGAGAGGGUGACCGGCCACACUGGGACUGAGACACGGCCCAGACUCCUACGGGAGGCAGCAGUGGGGAAUAUUGCACAAUGGGCGAAAGCCUGAUGCAGCGACGCCGCGUGAGGGAUGACGGCCUUCGGGUUGUAAACCUCUUUCAGCAGGGAAGAAGCGAAAGUGACGGUACCUGCAGAAGAAGCACCGGCUAACUACGUGCCAGCAGCCGCGGUAAUACGUAGGGUGCAAGCGUUGUCCGGAAUUAUUGGGCGUAAAGAGCUCGUAGGCGGCCUGUCGCGUCGAUUGUGAAAGCCCAGGGCUUAACCCUGGGUCUGCAGUCGAUACGGGCAGGCUAGAGUUCGGUAGGGGAGAUCGGAAUUCCUGGUGUAGCGGUGAAAUGCGCAGAUAUCAGGAGGAACACCGGUGGCGAAGGCGGAUCUCUGGGCCGAUACUGACGCUGAGGAGCGAAAGCGUGGGGAGCGAACAGGAUUAGAUACCCUGGUAGUCCACGCCGUAAACGGUGGGCACUAGGUGUGGGCAACAUUCCACGUUGUCCGUGCCGCAGCUAACGCAUUAAGUGCCCCGCCUGGGGAGUACGGCCGCAAGGCUAAAAC